RNAcentral lists this ribosomal RNA (975 nucleotides) under Salmonella enterica subsp. enterica serovar Infantis. RNAcentral's name for it is "partial 23S ribosomal RNA". It matches the Rfam family "Bacterial large subunit ribosomal RNA", at positions 711 to 1603 of the family's 2925-position model. The record is from RNAcentral. Lineage: Bacteria; Pseudomonadati; Pseudomonadota; Gammaproteobacteria; Enterobacterales; Enterobacteriaceae.
AGACCCGAAACCCGGUGAUCUAGCCAUGGGCAGGUUGAAGGUUGGGUAACACUAACUGGAGGACCGAACCGACUAAUGUUGAAAAAUUAGCGGAUGACCUGUGGCUGGGGGUGAAAGGCCAAUCAAACCGGGAGAUAGCUGGUUCUCCCCGAAAGCUAUUUAGGUAGCGCCUCGUGAAUUCAUCUCCGGGGGUAGAGCACUGUUUCGGCUAGGGGGCCAUCCCGGCUUACCAACCCGAUGCAAACUGCGAAUACCGGAGAAUGUUAUCACGGGAGACACACGGCGGGUGCUAACGUCCGUCGUGAAGAGGGAAACAACCCAGACCGCCAGCUAAGGUCCCAAAGUCAUGGUUAAGUGGGAAACGAUGUGGGAAGGCCCAGACAGCCAGGAUGUUGGCUUAGAAGCAGCCAUCAUUUAAAGAAAGCGUAAUAGCUCACUGGUCGAGUCGGCCUGCGCGGAAGAUGUAACGGGGCUAAACCAUGCACCGAAGCUGCGGCAGCGAACGUAUCACUUAAAGCGAUUCAGCGGGUUACGAUUGACGGAGCGAAGCGACGUCAAAGCGUAUACAAAGUCGAGUCGGUUUAAGGAUACGUUCGUUGGGUAGGGGAGCGUUCUGUAAGCCUGUGAAGGUGUGUCGUGAGGCAUGCUGGAGGUAUCAGAAGUGCGAAUGCUGACAUAAGUAACGAUAAAGCGGGUGAAAAGCCCGCUCGCCGGAAGACCAAGGGUUCCUGUCCAACGUUAAUCGGGGCAGGGUGAGUCGACCCCUAAGGCGAGGCCGAAAGGCGUAGUCGAUGGGAAACGGGUUAAUAUUCCCGUACUUGGUGUUACUGCGAAGGGGGGACGGAGAAGGCUAUGUUGGCCGGGCGACGGUUGUCCCGGUUUAAGCGUGUAGGUGUGUGUUCCAGGUAAAUCCGGUUCACUUUAACACUGAGGCGUGAUGACGAGGCACUACGGUGCUGAAGCAACAAAUGCCCU